GAUGAACGCUAGCGGGAGGCCUAACACAUGCAAGCCGAGCGGUAGAUUACUUUCGGGUAAUUGAGAGCGGCGUACGGGUGCGGAACACGUGUGCAACCUGCCUUUAUCAGGGGGAUAGCCUUUCGAAAGGAAGAUUAAUACCCCAUAAUAUAUUAUUCGGCAUCGGGUGAUAUUGAAAACUACGGUGGAUAGAGAUGGGCACGCGCAAGAUUAGCUAGUUGGUGAGGUAACGGCUCACCAAGGCGACGAUCUUUAGGGGGCCUGAGAGGGUGAUCCCCCACACUGGUACUGAGACACGGACCAGACUCCUACGGGAGGCAGCAGUGAGGAAUAUUGGACAAUGGGUGGAAGCCUGAUCCAGCCAUCCCGCGUGCAGGAAGACGGCCCUAUGGGUUGUAAACUGCUUUUAUCUGGGGAUAAACCUACUUACGUGUAAGUAGCUGAAGGUACCAGAAGAAUAAGCACCGGCUAACUCCGUGCCAGCAGCCGCGGUAAUACGGAGGGUGC
This 507-nucleotide ribosomal RNA is filed under the name uncultured bacterium. RNAcentral describes it as "bacterial SSU rRNA". It matches the Rfam family "Bacterial small subunit ribosomal RNA", at positions 28 to 535 of the family's 1533-position model. The record is from RNAcentral.